Long non-coding RNA from Felis catus (domestic cat), 6716 nucleotides. RefSeq lists it as uncharacterized. The record is from RefSeq and is a predicted model, not a curated record. The transcript has 11 exons. NCBI's taxonomy places the organism in Eukaryota, Metazoa, Chordata, Mammalia, Carnivora, Felidae.
AUAUAUAUACACACAUCACAUCUUCUUUAUCCAUUCAUGUCUUGGCUAUUUUGAGUAAUACUGCAGUGAACAUGUAGGGGUGGAUGUCUCUUUGAGGUAGUGAUUUUGUUUCCUAAGAGAAUAAACAGAUUGGUUGUACAUCAAGAGUGGGUUUACUGGAUCAUAUGGUAGUUCUAUUUUUUUAAGUUUGUUUGUUUGUUUGUUUGUUUGUUUGUUUGUUUGUUUAUGCCAUCUUUACACCUAGCAUGGGACUCAAACUCAUGACCCUGAGAUCAAGAGUUGGAUGCUCCACUGACCGAGUCAGCCAAGUACCCUGGUAGUUCUAUUUUCAAUAUUUGGAGGAUCUUCCAUACUGUUUGCCAUAGUGGGCAUACUAAUUUAUAUUCUUACCAGCAGUGCACAAAGGUUCCCUUUUCUGUACAUUCUCACCAACACUUGUUAUCGCUUGUCUUUUUUAAUAAUAAUCCUAACAGGUGUGAGACAAUAUCUCAUUAUGAUUUGGAUUUGCACUUUCCUGAUGUUCGUGAUGUGGAGCACCUUUCAUGUACCUGUAGGCCAUUGUGUGUCUUUGGAAACAUCUUUGAGAAAAUGUCUAUUUAAGUUCUUUGCCCAUUUUUUGAAUUGGAUUAUUUGUGGGUUCUGCUAUUGAGUGAUAUGAGUUCUUUAUAUACUUUGGAUAUUAACCCCUAAUUGGACAUAUGAUUUGCAAAUAUUUUCUCUCGUUCUGUAGGUUCACAUUUAAUUUUGGUGACAAUUUCCUUUGCUGUGAGAUGCUUCUUAGUUUCAUGUAGUUCCACUUGUUUAUUUAAUUUUUAUUGCUUGUGCUUUUGGUGUCACAUCCAAAAAAUCUUGUCAAGACCAAUAUUAAGUGGCUUUUCCUGUUGGUUUUCUUCUAGGAGUUUUACAGUUUCAUGUACAACAUUUAAGUACUUUGAUUUAAUGUUUGUGACUAGUAUAAAAUGUGAGUUCAAUUUCAUCCUUCUUCAUGUAGCUAGUCAGGUUUUCCAGUACCAUUUAUGGGAGAGACUGUCCUUUACCCAUUGUAUGUUCUUGCCUUUUUUGUUAUAAAUUAAUUGACCACAUACGCAUGGGUUUAUUUUUGGGCUCUUUAUUCUGUUGGCCUAUGUGUCUUUUUUUACACCAGUACCAUGAUGUUUCAAUUGCUGUAACUUUGCGAUACAAUUUCAAUCAGGAAGCAUGAUGCCUCUAGCUUUAUAUACUUCCUCAAAUUGAUUUGGCUAUUUGGAAUCUUUUGUGGUUCCAUACUGUUACCGAACCAGGCUGGAACGCUGGAGGAAAAACCAAGCGACACUUGGAGAUCUUGGUGGAUCGGAGAUUUACUUAACACCGGCAGGCUCAGAGGAGACAGUUUCUCCAAAAAUCUGAGCGCCGAAUGCCAGUGGGGAGGGUAAUUUAUAGUCAUCAGCUUCCACAUCUGUGGGGGCUUUCCCAUGAGCAGCAAACAAAGGAAGAAGAACACAGAGGAGGGGUAUCCAAACCAGAGACCAGAGUCUGUUUUAGCCCCAUCAGCCAUCUUUGGCAUACUUUAUUCACCUCUGCAACAAUACAAAUUUUAGAGCUGUUUUUUUUUUUCUACUUAUGUGAAAAUGCCAUUGGAGCCUUGAUAGAUAUUGCAUUAACCUACAGAUGGCUUUAGGUACUAUGGACAUUUCAAUGAUAUUAAUUCUUCUGAUCCAUGAACAUAGGAUAUAUUUUCAUUUGUUUCUGUCUUCAUUAAUUUUUCAUCAAAGUUUUAUAAGUUUCCAUGUAUAGCCCACUGUCUCCAGAAAUGUGGGUGCUACUGGGUCCUAUAGAAUAUGUAGAUCCUUCAAAUGCCCCCACUCUUAUUCGUGUUGUGGCCCCUGUGGCCUAUAGAGGAAAUGGGGGAAAUUUCCUCUGAUGCCUAAUAUACAGACAGGUAUAGUUGAGGAAACGCACACAAAGGAACUCAAGUUGCUAUACAACCCAAUACUGACACCAUCUGGAUGGAAACAGGAACAAGGUAAGCAGUCACUGGACUGAACUCAGAAGGGUUUCACUGGUGGUCACUCAUGAGCUCUAGUAAUUAACCAUUUGCACUGACAGGUAGACUGUUCUAAAGAGAUUAACCUAGAAUUUAGACACUGGGAAGCCAAAGGGCAGAUUAUCAUAACUAAACCCUGUGGUAUCAGGGUAUGGUAUCAGGACAUUUGGGCUCACCGGCAAGAGCCUGAGGUGAUCCUCACUAUUUUCCAAGUCCUGGUUCAUAAAGUACUGGUUGGUAGAAAGGAAAAAUGGAAUAUUAAAAGAUCAGAUUAAAUUAUUAACGGGGUAAUCACCUUGGCCUGGUGUACUAAUGUGCUGUUACAGGCUUUAAUGCAUUUGAAUGAUCAAACAUUAUGGUCUGUGGCUCCAUAUGCCAGACUGGGGACCCCUGCUGAGCCACCCAAUACUAUAAAGGUAUAGAAGUCUAAGGAGAUAGUUAUGGCCCCCACUCUCACUGUGGAUUAAUAUGCUAUGCUGCUGAGAACACCAAAAGGUGUUGUCUACUGGAAUUUUCCAUGGGAUGUCCCAUAGGAUAGGUGAGUUACUUUGUACCCUUGGGUGAGGGGGAUCUACUGAAUCUCUACUGGGAUCCUGUUGUUCUGUUGAAAGGCAGACCUGUGGAAAUUCACUAUACCUGUAAUGGAGCAUACCACAUCAAAAGAGGGGAGAACAUGGGGGUCCUGGUCUGGCAUAUUCUGCCCCAGUGUAUCUUCUCAUGCCUGACAGUGCUGCUUCCCUCUGCCAACAUGAAUGGCAUGCACAACCAGGUUAAGUUCCUAAAGCUGCUGGUGUCCCUUUCCUUCAAGGCCAUAAUGCCCUGACACCCCCCUGGCAAUCAGGAGGCUGAUCUCUAGCCUGGGUAUAAGCCCUAGCAACUGACUCUGCAGUACCUAUAGCAGAUUAAGUGCAACUACUGUAGAGCCUUGGAAUGGAUGGAAUGGCAUAUUGCCAGGAUUUGCCCUUAAAAUAUAGUGACUUGGUAAAUGUAGUAACAGCAUGUACUAUCUUUAUUUUUUUUUCUUUCUUCUUUCUUUUCUUUCUUCUUUCUUUCUUUCUUUCUUUCUUUCUUUCUUUCUUUCUUUCUUUCUUUCUUUCUUUUCUGGUGGAGCCUUUGUGAUUUCUCUACAUAAUAAGAUCAUGUUAUUUACAAAUGGGUGAUUUUACUUCUUUCUUCCUGAUUUGGAAGAUUUUUAUUUCUUUUUCUUGCCUGAUUGCUAUGGUAAGACUUCCAAUACUAUGUUGAAUAGAAGUGGUGAGAGUGAACACCCUUGUCUUGCUCCUGAUCUUAUAGGAAAAGCUUUCAGCUUUGACUACUGAAUGCAAUAUUUGCUGUGGACUUGUCAUAAAUGGCCUUUAUUAUGUUGAAGUAAAUUCCUUUUAUACCAAAUUUAUUGAGAGUUUUGAAUUUUAAGUUCUUUUGCAUCUAAGUCCUCCAAGUCCUUGAGUAAGUGCUCAAAUGUGGCCUGGGUAAGAAAAUACUGACAUCAGCAGCCAAGGUGACCUUGUGUUGUGCUUUUAUUCUGUGAAUGACCUGGCACUAAAUGCUGUCCCUCCAUAAUUCUUCCCAACCCCAUUGGAGAAGACUCUGGGGCCAGAUUCUCCCUCCUUGUUCCAAGGUCCCUGGGUGACUCCCUGGGAGUGGCCCAGGUGUCUGUCUCUGCCUGGCUUGUCCAUGCCCUGAUAGAGGGUAAAGCCAGGGCCAGAGCUGCUGAGGUGGUUGGGGAAGUGGGAAAGAACUGAAGGCAGCCCAGAGUGGUGAUUCCACUUGUUUGCAAGAUCGUGGCUCAUUGCUCCAUCCACCAUCCCAUGGAUCUGCUGCCUCUUCUGUUCCUGGAUGCUGCUACUGCUUUCAGGCUUCCAGUGUGCACCAGCACAGCCACCAGACUGGGAAGAAACGUGCCCCAGGGAGGUGAUGUCGCUGAUAUCCACUAGUGCUCAGCACGUGGCUUCCUCUUGUUCUCAGCACAGUUCUGGACACAGACAUGGACACUCCCAUUUUACUGAAGGAAACCAGCCCAGGCUCACACAGCUGGAGAGACGCGGAUGAACUAUUUCUCUUAAAAUGCUGUCAUUCCUGGAGAUCGCAGGAGAUCCCUAUUGAGUCAGCUGGAUUUCUUCUCUGAUGAGCCCCACCACCCCCUUCAGUGUCGUAUACUUUGUAUAGAAUAACAAUACCUUUCUAAAGAAUACAAUUCAUUGAUAUUUGACAAAUGGUAAGCAGCAAUGAAACCAUGACCACAGUAAGAGAGCAAACACAGACGUCACUCCCCCUAUCCAUAUUUUGCCUGACCAUUUCCCUCUUGGCUGUGAUGUGUUUGAAAUUCACUGGAAACAUAGCAUUAUUACCGCUUCCAUGGGAACUUAUGCUUGUCUAAUUUACCUCCAGUGAUCUGUUUUGCGCCAUAUCCCCCUUCCUUUCUGAUUUGAAAACCUUUGCUGUUGGUGAUGUGGGAAAAAUCAUAGGACCUGAUUUGACAGAAUUGUUUGUCAGUUCAGGAAAUAGCCAACUGCAGGAGACAUUUCUCCGGUGUUUCUGGUACAGUCGAGUAUAUGAAGAUCAAAUUUCUGAGAAGAUUAAGUACUACAUGAAGGAAAAUGAAAAAUGUGCAGAAAAAAAUACCAUUUGUGAAGAGCAGGUUGACCUCUCCCUUAAUGAAGUUGAUACCAGUGAAGUGAAAUUGAAGUCUGAAAAACAGCCUCUGCAGAAAGAAAAUGCUCAGCUCAAGACCCAAAAGAAUCAGGCAGAAAAUGGGAGCUGGGGGACAACUGUGAUGCACUUAGGUGUGUGAAAGGGGCAAAGGACGCCAAAUGGGACACACUGAAGAAGAAUGUAGACGUUCGUGAUGGAAUGUGUGGACAAAGACAGAAGCUCACAGAAAAAAAGCUGGGACUGAAAGAAUGGGAGCAGGUGGAAGGGGAGAAGCAGCUGUCAGCCACAGAGGAGAAAGUCAAAUUAGCUGCAGAAGAGCUUCAGAACUACAGUGAGUUCAGCUCCUACCACCAGCUCAUGUGAUGGCCAUUGUAUUACUUUGAAACUUUGUACAGUGUUUAGAGCCAAGUAGCACACAAAUAUACACAUUCAAGAGACAUUCAUUUCUAUAGAGACUUCAAGAGAGAUGUGACAUUUUCCAGAUGUUAAGUUAAAAAUAUUAAUCUAGGUUAAAGUAACUAAAGAUUUCCUGAUCCUCAUUGCUGGCCAGACUAUGUGGAAAUGUGGUUCCUGAACAUGUUUCUGGAGGUGCUGGAAAUGAUUACAAACCUCAGGGAGCAGUUAGUUUGAGGAUGAAUCACAUCGACAAGUAUGACCAUCCCAUUUUAGAUACCCACUUGUUGUAAUCAUGAGAAAUAUGAUAAGGAUACAAGGAAAAGAAGAUUUGAGCUUUACAAUGAAAUAUCCUCAUUGCAGAAUUAGGGAGCUGUCCCCACAGGUAAGGAGACCAUGUCAACGUGGAGCCCUACAGGCAUUAAAUAAUAAAUACAAGAUGAUGUAGUGAUGGCUUUGAGCUUUCUGUACUCUCCUCCUCAUGUGAAAUGUGUCUUCUAUGAUUGGGUCAUGUGUAUGAGAAUUCAGUUCUUAUAAUGGGAACCUGGGCCAAUUAACAUCACCCUCCACAUGGUGCUUCAUCUGAUGAAAGCCAUUGCACGCCCAGGAGAACACUGGAAGAAACACCAGAACAGCUGCAGCAGUCAGAGCUCACCUUCGGACACCAGGUACCCUGCACUCUGCCUAGUAGUUCCUGAGUGCUUCAGCACCUAACACAGAUGAUCAUAAAGGGGAACUGAAUCUCUCCACAUGGGUUUUAUUGCUGACUGUUUCAGAUUGCUCUUUGUGAGAAGGCACUUCAAGACAACUGGGUAAGAAUGUUUUUCUCUCCUCCUCUUGUGCACACCCUGCCACAGAUAAAUGUGGAUGUAUUUCUCUCUGGAGCUUGGGGCUCAUGAUCUGGAGAGGGCACUGGCAGAGCAGAGCAGGGAGGUUGCCUACUUGAAAUGCAGGUACAGGAUUUUGACAUAUUUCUUUUAAGGGCGCUGUGAGGUUUUUAAAAAGGCUAAACCCUUUGGUGUCCAAUGGAGGCCUGGGUGUGGUAACUCUUAGUGAAACUGAUUCAUCUCGAUGUUCAAGACUGGAAGUCAUCCAAAAACAGAGGCUUCCAGAGGAAUUCAGGAGGCACAAACGAAUGGCAAGAGGACCUGACAGGGAGAUCCCUCCAUGGAGAGGUACAGAGCACAUUGUGAAAUGCAGUAGCUUAACUUCUGUGAUAACAUCUGCACAAAUGGCUUCUUGUUCCAGUGGGUGUCAUUGCUUGGUCUCAUGCAAACAGUCCCAGGUGGUUACUAGAGGGCACAGGUUGUCUCACAGUGGUGACAGGACACUGGUUCCCUCAGAUGCCCUGGCCAGCAGGGCUCUUUGGGUCUGUCCCUUGUGAGUGGUGGAGCUCACACCCCUUCACUGACUGUGGGCCCCCCUGAAACCUCCCGGUUACAAUUAACUGGAGAGUGGGUGGUAGAAUGAUCAUGGGUCAGCACCCCUUCCACCUUGAGACAAUGUUGAAGGCUGUUUCUUUUGUUUCACAUGAAUAAUGUGAACAACAGCGUGAAUUGGAGGCUGUAUGUCCUGAUGAGCUUUCUUGAAUUGGCCUUUGGAUAAAUGCUCAUAGAAAAUACACUUUGAUUAAAGAAAGCAGACAUUU